AUACGUAGGGGGCGAGCGUUGUCCGGAAUGAUUGGGCGUAAAGGGCGCGUAGGCGGCCCGGUAAGUCUGGAGUGAAAGUCCUGUUUUUAAGAUGGGAAUUGCUUUGGAUACUGUCGGGCUUGAGUGCAGGAGAGGUAAGUGGAAUUCCCAGUGUAGCGGUGAAAUGCGUAGAGAUUGGGAGGAACACCAGUGGCGAAGGCGACUUACUGGACUGUAACUGACGCUGAGGCGCGAAAGUGUGGGGAGCAAGCAGGAUUAGAUACCCUGGUAGUCCACACUGUAAACGAUGAAUGCUAGGUGUAGGGGGUAUCGACCCCUUCUGUGCCGCAGUCAACACAAUAAGCAUUCCGCCUGGGGAGUACGGCCGCAAGGUUGAAACUCAAAGGAAUUGACGGGG
Molecule: ribosomal RNA, 397 nt
Filed under: uncultured bacterium
Lineage: Bacteria
Description: partial 16S ribosomal RNA
Rfam family: Bacterial small subunit ribosomal RNA
Source: RNAcentral